GAUAUGCACCCAAAAAAAUGAAGACACGGGAUUGGGUGAUCUUCCCAAAUAUCCAUAGGAUAUCUAACUUGAAUUAAUGGAGGAUGGUGACAAAGAAAGAGAAGGCACCAAAGAAAAGGAGAAAAGAAAGCACAUAGAGGAAAUGUGAAAGAGAGUGUUUGGAAUGGUAUCACGCAAUUUGUCUUUCCUUUGGUCCCACCAAGAGGGUUAGUUACUUUCCCCUUCUUACUCUCCUUCAUUUCCAUUACUACUAUCUAUUUUAAUUGUUCUUCUUUUUGUGCCGAUAUUAUAGCCUUGCACGUCAAAGAUGACUCUCUAUGAUUUAUUUCCACAUAGUUUUCUUAACCCUCUUAUUCAAGGCUUCCCCUUCAUUUUCUCCAUCUUAUAUGCAUUUCUUGUUUUGAUUAUUUGUUGUUUAGGUCACGAGGCCACAACAUGCUUGCCUUGCCUUCUUAGUUCUUACUUUUCAUAAUUCCGAAUAUAUGAACUCAUAAUGUCUUCUUCUAUUUUCUUUAAUUUGGUCCCCCAUUUCAGUUUUGGUAUAACGAUAGAAUAUAAUUUUUUAUUGUAAAAAAAUAUAACCUUUUAAUUUAUUAAAUACACUUCCCAUUAAAGAUUUUCCUUUUUAGGUUUCUUAAAAAAUAGUAACACCAAUUAUAUAAUCAGAUGCCCUUUAUUUCUUUAGCACAUAUAAAAAAAACCGAUAUUUUUGAAAUAACUUAUACUGGCUUAUUAACGAACGGAAGCAUAGAUUUAUACGAGGAGUGAUUUUUGUAAGAAAAAAGUAGUGAGGACUGAGGACACAGCAAUCAGUCCUGGUCCACCUCGAAAAGGGCAAGAAGACAUGUUAAAAAAAAAGGUAUGGAAUUAUUUAUGGAAUUGUCAGUUUGGGUUGGUGAUGCUAUAAUUUAUGAGGCAGUGUGUUAGUACACUGGCUACCGUUUCUGAUGAUAAUGAUAAUGAUAAUUGCAGUCACAAGAAAUAUGAGCAGAGCAGACAGAGAGCUCAGAGAGAUUGGUAAAGAAAGAUAGAUAGAAAGAAAGGCAAAUAAAGAGGGACUCGUGAGAUCGAUGUAAUGAGGAAACAGCAUCAAAGUGUGGAGAGGUGAUGGUGGAGCCUCUUCCUCUCUGCAAAACUCAAACCCUACUUAUUCCUUACAACACAUUCAUUAAUGUCAACAACUUCCUCAUUUCAUCCAUAUAGUAUAGGCUACAUAAAUAUUACAAGUUAUUGCACCCUG
Molecule: long non-coding RNA, 1240 nt
Filed under: Lupinus angustifolius (narrow-leaved blue lupine)
Lineage: Eukaryota; Viridiplantae; Streptophyta; Magnoliopsida; Fabales; Fabaceae
Description: long non-coding RNA (LANG_LNC002515)
Source: RNAcentral